CUUGCUCCUAGAGGUGUUGCAGGUGUGACUGCUAUGCCACAUUUUCACCAGUAGGUGGCAGAGAGGAGUGAGGCUGUGUUUACACUCAGUGUUCUGAAAUGUGAUCAUCUGGAUGAUUAGUAGCCUAAAUCC
Molecule: small nucleolar RNA, 132 nt
Organism: Grammomys surdaster
Lineage: Eukaryota; Metazoa; Chordata; Mammalia; Rodentia; Muridae
Product: small nucleolar RNA SNORA17
Exons: 1
Source: RefSeq, a predicted model, not a curated record